UGGCGGAGUAGUUUAACUGGCGAAAAUGUCGGUCUCAUAAACCGAAGACUACAGGUUCAAAUCCUGUCUCCGCAACCA
Molecule: transfer RNA, 78 nt
Filed under: Acidobacteriota bacterium
Lineage: Bacteria; Pseudomonadati; Acidobacteriota
Description: Acidobacteria bacterium (soil metagenome) tRNA-Met
Rfam family: tRNA
About the family: Transfer RNA (tRNA) molecules are approximately 80 nucleotides in length. Their secondary structure includes four short double-helical elements and three loops (D, anti-codon, and T loops). Further hydrogen bonds mediate the characteristic L-shaped molecular structure. tRNAs have two regions of fundamental functional importance: the anti-codon, which is responsible for specific mRNA codon recognition, and the 3' end, to which the tRNAs corresponding amino acid is attached (by aminoacyl-tRNA synthetases). tRNAs cope with the degeneracy of the genetic code in two manners: having more than one tRNA (with a specific anti-codon) for a particular amino acid; and 'wobble' base-pairing, i.e. permitting non-standard base-pairing at the 3rd anti-codon position.
Source: RNAcentral